Molecule: ribosomal RNA, 197 nt
Filed under: uncultured bacterium
Lineage: Bacteria
Description: partial 16S ribosomal RNA
Rfam family: Bacterial small subunit ribosomal RNA
Source: RNAcentral
ACGCUCGACACCUACUGGAGGCACAGUCGGGAAUAUUGCGCAAUGGAGGAAACUCUGACGCAGUGACGCCGCGUGCAGGAAGAAGGUUUUCGGAUUGUAAACUGCUUUAGACAGGGAAGAAAAAAGACAGUACCUGUAGAAUAAGCUCCGGCUAACUACGUGCCAGCAGCCCGGUAAUCUGAGCGGGCUGGCAAGGC